Molecule: ribosomal RNA, 789 nt
Filed under: uncultured bacterium
Lineage: Bacteria
Description: bacterial SSU rRNA
Rfam family: Bacterial small subunit ribosomal RNA
Source: RNAcentral
AGAGUUUGAUCAUGGCUCAGGACGAACGCUGGCGGCGUGCUUAACACAUGCAAGUCGAACGAAAAGGCCCCUUCGGGGGUACUCGAGUGGCGAACGGGUGAGUAACACGUGGGUGAUCUGCCCUGCACUUUGGGAUAAGCCUGGGAAACUGGGUCUAAUACCGAAUAGGACCGCAUGCUUCAUGGUGUGUGGUGGAAAGCUUUUGCGGUGUGGGAUGGGCCCGCGGCCUAUCAGCUUGUUGGUGGGGUAAUGGCCUACCAAGGCGACGACGGGUAGCCGGCCUGAGAGGGUGUCCGGCCACACUGGGACUGAGAUACGGCCCAGACUCCUACGGGAGGCAGCAGUGGGGAAUAUUGCACAAUGGGCGCAAGCCUGAUGCAGCGACGCCGCGUGGGGGAUGACGGCCUUCGGGUUGUAAACCUCUUUCAGUAUCGGCGAAGCUCCAGGAUUUUUCUUGGGGUGACGGUAGGUACAGAAGAAGCACCGGCCAACUACGUGCCAGCAGCCGCGGUAAUACGUAGGGUGCGAGCGUUGUCCGGAAUUACUGGGCGUAAAGAGCUCGUAGGUGGUUUGUCACGUUGUCUGUGAAAACUCACAGCUUAACUGUGGGCGUGCGGGCGAUACGGGCAGACUGGAGUACUGUAGGGGAGACUGGAAUUCCUGGUGUAGCGGUGGAAUGCGCAGAUAUCAGGAGGAACACCGGUGGCGAAGGCGGGUCUCCGGGCAGUAACUGACGCUGAGGAGCGAAAGCGUGGGGAGCGAACAGGAUUAGAUACCCUGGUAGUCCAA